RNAcentral lists this ribosomal RNA (2020 nucleotides) under human gut metagenome. RNAcentral describes it as "bacterial LSU rRNA". It matches the Rfam family "Bacterial large subunit ribosomal RNA", at positions 831 to 2856 of the family's 2925-position model. The record is from RNAcentral.
AAUCGAACUCGGAGAUAGCUGGUUCUCCCCGAAAUAGCUUUAGGGCUAGCGUCGAGGUAAAGUCGUGUGAAGGUAGAGCACUGAAUAUGUGAUGGCCCCAUCUCGGGGUACUGAACAUAAUCAAACUCCGAAUGUCACAAAGAUAUACUCGGCAGUCAGACAGUGGGUGAUAAGGUCCAUUGUCAAAAGGGAAACAGCCCAGACCAUCAGCUAAGGUCCCAAAAUAUAUACUAAGUGGAAAAGGAUGUGGAGAUGUCCAGACAACUAGGAGGUUGGCUCAGAAGCAGCCAUCCUUUAAAGAGUGCGUAACAGCUCACUAGUCGAAUGACUCUGCGCCGAUAAUUUACCGGGGCUAAGUAUAUUACCGAAGCUAUGGAUUUACGCGUAAGCGUGAGUGGUAGGGGAGCGUUCUAUGUGCGGAGAAGCGGUACCGUAAGGAGCCGUGGAGCGCAUAGAAGAGAGAAUGCCGGUGUGAGUAGCGAAACGUGGGUGAGAAUCCCACGCACCGAAAACCCAAGGUUUCCAGAGGAAGGUUCGUCCGCUCUGGGUAAGUCGGGACCUAAGGCGAGGCCGAGAGGCGUAGUCGAUGGACAACAGGUAGAGAUUCCUGUACUUACGGUAUGAAUGAUGGAGUGACGGAGAAGGCUAGCGGAUCCUGCUGAUGGAAAUGCAGGUGCAAGCGAGGUAGCCGACAGCCAGGCAAAUCCGGCUGUCGAAAGGCAAAGGCGUGAGGCGUAUGGAAAGCUGCGGCAAGUACAGAAGUCCGUGAAGCCAGCUUCCAAGAAAAGCUUCUAGUGAUAAUCAUACAGUAACCCGUACCGAAAAUGGACACACAUGGGUGAGGAGAGAAUCCUAAGGUGAGCGAGAGAACUAUAGCUAAGGAACUCUGCAAAAUGACUCCGUAACUUAGGGAUAAGGAGUGCUCAUAGAGAUAUGAGCCGCAGUGAAACGGCCCAAGCGACUGUUUACCAAAAACACAGCUCUAUGCUAAGUCGAAAGACGACGUAUAUGGGGUGACGCCUGCCCGGUGCUGGAAGGUUAAGAGGAUGUGUCAGCGCAAGCGAAGCAUUGAAUUGAAGCCCCAGUAAACGGCGGCCGUAACUAUAACGGUCCUAAGGUAGCGAAAUUCCUUGUCAGGUAAGUUCUGACCCGCACGAAAGGCGUAACGAUUUGGGCGCUGUCUCAGCUGUAGACUCGGUGAAGUCUUAGUACCUGUGAAGAUGCAGGUUACCCGCGACUAGACGGAAAGACCCCAUGGAGCUUUACUGUAGCUUGAUAUUGGACUUUGAUGCAAGAUGUACAGGAUAGGUAGGAGACUGAGAGACAUGCACGCCAGUGUGUGAGGAGUCAAUGUUGGGAUACUACUCUUCUUGUAUUGGAGUUCUAACCGGAUGCCAUGGAACUGGCAACGGGACAGUGUCAGGUGGGCAGUUUGACUGGGGCGGUCGCCUCCCAAAGAGUAACGGAGGCGCCCAAAGAUACCCUCAGCUUGGAUGGAAAUCAAGCGCAGAGUGCAAAGGCAUAAGGGUGUUUGACUGCGAGACCUACAAGUCGAGCAGGGACGAAAGUCGGGCUUAGUGAUCCGGCGGUGCUGAAUGGAAAGGCCGUCGCUCAACGGAUAAAAGCUACCCUGGGGAUAACAGGCUGAUCUCCCCCAAGAGUUCACAUCGACGGGGAGGUUUGGCACCUCGAUGUCGGCUCAUCGCAUCCUGGAGCUGAAGUCGGUUCCAAGGGUUGGGCUGUUCGCCCAUUAAAGCGGUACGCGAGCUGGGUUCAGAACGUCGUGAGACAGUUCGGUCCCUAUCUGUCGUGGGCGUAGGAAGUUUGAGAAGAUCUGUCCUCAGUACGAGAGGACCGGGAUGGACAUAUCAAUGGUGCACCAGUUGUCACGCCAGUGGCACAGCUGGGUAGCUAAAUAUGGAAGGGAUAAACGCUGAAGGCAUCUAAGUGUGAAACCCACUUCAAGAUGAGACUUCCCAUUACGCAAGUAAGUAAGACCCCUUAAAGACGAUAAGGUUGA